Molecule: long non-coding RNA, 360 nt
Filed under: Setaria viridis
Lineage: Eukaryota; Viridiplantae; Streptophyta; Magnoliopsida; Poales; Poaceae
Description: long non-coding RNA (SVIR_LNC004056)
Source: RNAcentral
AGUUUUCUUUUCCUAUGUGUCAGCAUCUGAAAGGUAGAAUACUUAAUAGAUUUUGAUAUGUAGAAUCUGUCAAUAGACAACUAAAAAUCCAUUUGUUUUAUAUUACAUUAGAAAUUUAACCCAAUUUAACUCCCUUCUUGGGCCAACAAUCCUUUCACUAGGGAUCAUAUCCAGUGAAAAACCAACUAAAAACUAACUUAAAGCUAUAUAAAAAAAACAUUCGGAUAAGAGAUCACUAUACAUAGUUGAUGUCGUAUUACAAUUCCACGAAUAAUUUGAAGACCAAAAUCAAUCCCUAUGAGCGGGUUGAAAAUUCAUUGUAUCUAAAAUUCAGCACUUCAGAUGAACGCUCACUCUCAC